GAUGAACGCUGGCGGCGUGCCUAAUACAUGCAAGUCGAGCGAACGGACGAGAAGCUUGCUUCUCUGAUGUUAGCGGCGGACGGGUGAGUAACACGUGGAUAACCUACCUAUAAGACUGGGAUAACUUCGGGAAACCGGAGCUAAUACCGGAUGAUAUUUUGAACCGCAUGGUUCAAAAGUGAAAGACGGUCUUGCUGUCACUUAUAGAUGGAUCCGCGCUGCAUUAGCUAGUUGGUAAGGUAAUGGCUUACCAAGGCAACGAUGCAUAGCCGACCUGAGAGGGUGAUCGGCCACACUGGAACUGAGACACGGUCCAGACUCCUACGGGAGGCAGCAGUAGGGAAUCUUCCGCAAUGGGCGAAAGCCUGACGGAGCAACGCCGCGUGAGUGAUGAAGGUCUUCGGAUCGUAAAACUCUGUUAUUAGGGAAGAACAUAUGUGUAAGUAACUGUGCACAUCUUAACGGUACCUAAUCAGAAAGCCACGGCUAACUACGUG
RNAcentral lists this ribosomal RNA (497 nucleotides) under uncultured bacterium. Its description in RNAcentral is "partial 16S ribosomal RNA". It matches the Rfam family "Bacterial small subunit ribosomal RNA", at positions 28 to 507 of the family's 1533-position model. The record is from RNAcentral.